AGAUUAGUUGAAAAUUAUUACAAAAUAUUCUAAAAGGGUUUUUUGUGGUACUUCAAGAAACCUGAUUAGUUUUGAUCUAUUGAAAUCACAAAAGUAGAACAGGCAUUUUAUUUUUGUAUAAUUUAGGAUUAGGUAUGCUUCUUUGUUCUAACAAGUCAUGUUUUCUAACCCUUCUUUCACUAAGCAAACCAGAACAGAUUUGAACUGUUGCGGGUUAUAUAUUAGUAUGGAGAUCAGCUCAGAUGACAUUAAAAAUGCCGUAGUGUUAUUCUUGUAUGCCAAAUCUUUUUUUCCCCAAAAUUAGCACUUUAAUUUUAUUUACUGUUAUAAUAUUUGUUUUCUUAGAUUAGCUAGGAAAUCUUAAUUUGGCCACCGUCUACUUUGACAAGUAAAUAUCACAUCCUACGAUUUUGCAACAUUAAAUUAGAACACUAGAAACUAAAAAAUUAUGUUUCAGUGAAUGCUACAACUAAGCAUUUUUUUUUUUUUUAAGAAAAACAAUUGUAUUAUGUCUUGUUGCCUUGCCACUUUGAGUAUCUUAUCUGAAAAUCUGUUCCUUGCCAUGUUUUUCUCCUGUUAACAUAAACUAUGUGCCCUGUGAAUUUCUGGGGACUGAAUUUGAAAUUGCUCCUGCCAACCGUUUGUGGCCUGGCGUGUAUCUGAAUGCCUGAAUAUCUCCCCGCUGAAUGAAUUUCGUAUUCUGCCCUGAAUUCACUCGGGUAUAUUGAUUGGCUGGAUGAUCUUGGUGCCGCCCACUUGACGUUUCCAGAAGAGUCACCGAAGGAAAAGAACCAGGAGUGUAGAGGAUGAUGAGGAGGGUCACCUGAUCUGUCAGAGUGGAGACGUACUAAGUGCAAGAUGUAUAGAAUAUUUUUCAACACUUAUUAACUUUUCAGAUAACAUAAUCUAUAUAUAGAUUAAGCUUUCAGGGAUUUGGAAAUCUUUUUUUCUUUCUCUUUGUUUUUGUUUUUAUUUUUCCAUUUCUUUUGGUGGGGGGGAUUGUAUUUUUGCUUUCUUUAGAAAUGUAAUGUUUGUUAUACAGAACUUCCAGAACAGUAAUCAAAUUAAUGAAAUUAGACCUAAUAAUUAUGUUUUUUGAUGGUGUUGACCAAUAAAAUAAAUAUCUAGUGAUAAGGAAAUUUGUAGCAUCAACUAGAAUAAUCUACAUUGAUAGCAUUUAUUGUGAUAAGUACAUUGUUUCCACUUCUUGAUAUGACUGAGAUUUAUUUCUCUCUUUUAGAUGAAAUUGUUGAUACUUUAGGUGAAGGAGCUUUUGGAAAAGUGGUGGAGUGCAUCGAUCAUAAAGCGGGAGGUAGACAUGUAGCAGUAAAAAUAGUUAAAAAUGUGGAUAGAUACUGUGAAGCUGCUCGCUCAGAAAUACAAGUUCUGGAACACCUGAAUACAACAGACCCCAACAGUACUUUCCGCUGUGUCCAGAUGUUGGAAUGGUUUGAGCAUCAUGGUCACAUUUGCAUUGUUUUUGAACUACUGGGACUUAGUACUUACGACUUCAUUAAAGAAAAUGGUUUUCUACCAUUUCGACUGGAUCAUAUCAGAAAGAUGGCGUAUCAGAUAUGCAAGUCUGUGAAUUGUAAGUUCUUGGUAUAUCUUAUUAAUUUGCUGGUUUUAUCCAUUCCACAUAUCAAAAUGUGCAUCCUAAGUGUGUACAAUAUUUAUUUGAUUAAAAAUAAAGGGGGAGGAAGAGUAGGUAUGAAGAGAUUUGAUUACAGGCUGUUGAUCCAGCAGUGUACAUUUCAUUCAGUAAGUGGGAUAUCCACCAUAUAACAACAUACUGUGUUGCACACUAUGAUUUAGACUUUUCUGAUGCGUAAAAAUAGUAACUUCGAAUGCUGGGUAAAAAUUAAGGCGUGCUAUGUCUCAUAAAGCUUCAGAGGAGGUAGUGAGUUUUAGUUACUGGUGAUUUUCUAGCAGACUGGAAUGUUGACCAUUCUUUGGGAAAGGAAUCAGAGGUUUUUUUAUUGGGUUUUUUUUGAGAUGGAGUCUCGCUUUGUUGUUCAGGCUGAAGUGCAGUGGCGCAUUCUUCACUCAUUGCAAACUCUGCCUCCCCGGUUCAAGUGAUUCUCCUGCCUCAGCCUCCCGAGUAGCUGGGACUACAGGCACACGCCACCACACCCAGCCAAUUUUUGUAAUUUUAGUAGAGACAGGGUUUCACCAUAUUGGUGAGGCUGGUCUCGAACUCCUGACCUCAGGUGAUUACAGGCGUGAGCCACUGCAUCCAGCCUGUUGUGGGGUUUUGUGGUUUGGUUUGGUGUUUUCUGAUUACAGCAACUUUCUCUUUAUUCUCAGUUUUGCACAGUAAUAAGUUGACUCACACAGACUUAAAGCCUGAAAACAUCUUAUUUGUGCAGUCUGACUACACAGAGGCAUAUAAUCCCAAAAUAAAACGUGAUGAGCGCACCUUAGUAAAUCCAGAUAUUAAAGUUGUAGACUUUGGUAGUGCAACAUAUGAUGACGAACAUCACAGUACAUUGGUAUCUACAAGACAUUAUAGAGCACCUGAAGUUAUUUUAGCCCUAGGGUGGUCCCAACCAUGUGAUGUCUGGAGUAUAGGAUGCAUUCUUAUUGAAUACUAUCUUGGGUUUACCGUAUUUCCAACACACGAUAGUAAGGAGCAUUUAGCAAUGAUGGAAAGGAUUCUUGGACCUCUACCAAAACAUAUGAUUCAGAAAACCAGGAAACGUAAAUAUUUUCACCACGAUCGAUUAGACUGGGAUGAACACAGUUCUGCCGGCAGAUAUGUUUCAAGACGCUGUAAACCUCUGAAGGAAUUUAUGCUUUCUCAAGAUGUUGAACAUGAGCAUCUCUUUGACCUCAUUCAGAAAAUGUUGGAGUAUGAUCCAGCCAAAAGAAUUACUCUCAAAGAAGCCUUAAAGCAUCCUUUCUUUGACCUUCUGAAGAAAAGUAUAUAGAUCUAUAAUUGGACAGCUCUCUAGAAGAGAUCUUACAGACUGUAUCAGUCUGAUUUUUAAAUUUUAAGUUAUUUUGUACAGCUUUGUAAAUUCUUAACAUUUUUAUAUUGCCAUGUUUAUUUUGUUUGGGUAAUUUGGUUCGUUAAGUACAUAGCUAAGGUAAUGAACAUCUUUUUCAGUAAUUGUAAAGUGAUUUAUUCAGAAUAAAUUUUUUGUGCUUAUGAAGUUGA
This 3160-nucleotide small RNA is filed under the name Pongo abelii (Sumatran orangutan). RNAcentral's name for it is "retained intron". Lineage: Eukaryota; Metazoa; Chordata; Mammalia; Primates; Hominidae. The record is from RNAcentral.